AUUCUCACUAAUCAGGAACGAGCUAAGAUGUCAUUUUUUAAGAAGUUGAGUAGUAACCUAAAACUAUGGACUUGCCAUAAGUGCGGAAAGAAGACAGAAGCUGCUGGUGGCACUUCAUGUAACCGAUGCGGUAAGUGGGUGUGUAAUUCACAUAAAGCAUCUGGCGGAGUUUGUAAGGGCGGUUGCUAGCCAAAAUUUAAUAAAUUACAACACUUAACACAGCGCCAUAUCAGCAAUGAUAUGGCGCUUUUUUAUAUCUGA
This 261-nucleotide unclassified non-coding RNA is filed under the name Moritella viscosa. RNAcentral's name for it is "putative sRNA". The record is from RNAcentral. Lineage: Bacteria; Pseudomonadati; Pseudomonadota; Gammaproteobacteria; Alteromonadales; Moritellaceae.